AUUGAACGCUGGCGGCAUGCCUUACACAUGCAAGUCGAACGGCAGCACGGGUGCUUGCCCCUGGUGGCGAGUGGCGAACGGGUGAGUAAUACAUCGGAACAUGUCCUGUAGUGGGGAAUAGCCCGGCGAAAGCCGGAUUAAUACCGCAUACGAUCUACGGAUGAAAGCGGGGGACCUUCGGGCCUCGCGCUAUAGGGUUGGCCGAUGGCUGAUUAGCUAGUUGGUGGGGUAAAGGCCUACCAAGGCGACGAUCAGUAGCUGGUCUGAGAGGACGACCAGCCACACUGGGACUGAGACACGGCCCAGACUCCUACGGGAGGCAGCAGUGGGGAAUUUUGGACAAUGGGCGAAAGCCUGAUCCAGCAAUGCCGCGUGUGUGAAGAAGGCCUGCGGGUUGUAAAGCACUUUUGUCCGGAAAGAAAUCCUUGGCCCUAAUACGGUCGGGGGAUGACGGUACCGGAAGAAUAAGCACCGGCUAACUACGU
RNAcentral lists this ribosomal RNA (485 nucleotides) under uncultured bacterium. RNAcentral describes it as "partial 16S ribosomal RNA". It matches the Rfam family "Bacterial small subunit ribosomal RNA", at positions 30 to 506 of the family's 1533-position model. The record is from RNAcentral.